RNAcentral lists this ribosomal RNA (429 nucleotides) under Bacteroidota bacterium. Its description in RNAcentral is "Bacteroidetes bacterium partial 16S ribosomal RNA". It matches the Rfam family "Bacterial small subunit ribosomal RNA", at positions 355 to 776 of the family's 1533-position model. The record is from RNAcentral. Lineage: Bacteria; Pseudomonadati; Bacteroidota.
UAGGGAAUCUUCGGCAAUGGGGGGAACCCUGACCGAGCAACGCCGCGUGAGUGAAGAAGGUUUUCGGAUCGUAAAGCUCUGUUGUUAAGGAAGAACGAGUGUGAGAAUGGAAAGUUCAUACUGUGACGGUACUUUACCAGAAAGGGACGGCUAACUACGUGCCAGCAGCCGCGGUAAUACGUAGGUCCCGAGCGUUGUCCGGAUUUAUUGGGCGUAAAGCGAGCGCAGGCGGUUAGAAAAGUCUGAAGUGAAAGGCAGUGGCUCAACCAUUGUAGGCUUUGGAAACUGUUUAACUUGAGUGCAGAAGGGGAGAGUGGAAUUCCAUGUGUAGCGGUGAAAUGCGUAGAUAUAUGGAGGAACACCGGUGGCGAAAGCGGCUCUCUGGUCUGUAACUGACGCUGAGGCUCGAAAGCGUGGGGAGCGAACAGG